UCCGUGCACGAUCCCGCGCAUUUUCAGGUAUUAUUUCCAUUGCACGUGCCCGCAUGGUCACUCGCUGUACAGCAAUUCUCCCAUGCGCUGAGAGAUGGAGCUGCGCGCCAAGGAGGCGCUGACUGCUGCUGAGGCUGUUUCGUCGUCAAAGCAGAAGCACGCUGAUGCUUGUAAGGAAGAGACUUUUAAGUGAGGAAGCUAGUCGGUGAUUCUUUCCCCAGGGUUGCAGUCCGUUGCUAUUCACUGAGACCGCGCGGUACCAUCAUCUCAGCUGUUCUUGUUUUGGACUUUGUUUCCUCUUAAGUAAAUCCAUAAAAAUGUUAAUUGCGGUCACCUCUUUGUAACUAGAACUGAGGUGGACACGCCAGAACAAACCACCCCCAGUACAACCGUUACCCUGACAGCAAAGAGGAGGAUUCAACAAGAGGAGGUUGGGGCCGCUGAUGGAUACAUCAAUUAUAUAACUCAGGGUGAAAACAGGAAAAUACACCUCAUUUCUAUGCCUAAGAAAGAGGAGGAGGAUCACACAUUCUGCCUAGUCAUUUAUCUUGUACACUAUCACAAAAAGGCAAGGAUCACAACCACAGUUUAACACUGGAAUGCUGUUUGAACCAUAUUGUGAAAUUCAGCACUUCACUUCAGCCUGAGGAAAAAACUUCAGGUUUUUCAGCACAGCUCAAGGUCUUUUGUGUCAGCUAACAAACACACAGAGCUCAAGAGAUUCACAGAAAGCCAGAGCAAUA
Molecule: long non-coding RNA, 743 nt
Organism: Protopterus annectens (West African lungfish)
Lineage: Eukaryota; Metazoa; Chordata; Ceratodontiformes; Protopteridae
Exons: 4
Source: RefSeq, a predicted model, not a curated record